RNAcentral lists this ribosomal RNA (491 nucleotides) under uncultured diatom. RNAcentral's name for it is "SSU rRNA". It matches the Rfam family "Eukaryotic small subunit ribosomal RNA", at positions 451 to 946 of the family's 1831-position model. The record is from RNAcentral. Lineage: Eukaryota; Bacillariophyta.
CUGACACAGGGAGGUAGUGACAAUAAAUAACAAUGCCGGGCCUUUGUAGGUCUGGCAAUUGGAAUGAGAACAAUUUAAACCCCUUAUCGAGUAUCAAUUGGAGGGCAAGUCUGGUGCCAGCAGCCGCGGUAAUUCCAGCUCCAAUAGCGUAUAUUAAAGUUGUUGCAGUUAAAAAGCUCGUAGUUGGAUUUGUGGUGUACGCAGGCGGCCUGUCACAAUGUGUCGGAGCUUGCUUGCGUCGCCAUCCUUGGGUGGAUCCUGUGUGGCAUUCAGUUGUCGUGCAGGGGAUGCCCAUCGUUUACUGUGAAAAAUUAGAGUGUUCAAAGCAGGCUUAUGCCGUUGAAUAUAUUAGCAUGGAAUAAUAAGAUAGGACUUUUGAGUCUAUUUUGUUGGUUUGCGAGUCAAAGUAAUGAUUAAUAGGGACAGUUGGGGGUAUUCGUAUUUCAUUGUCAGAGGUGAAAUUCUUGGAUUUCUGAAAGACGAACUACUGC